This 1274-nucleotide ribosomal RNA is filed under the name Tonicia forbesii. RNAcentral's name for it is "16S ribosomal RNA". The stretch from base 823 to 1274 matches the Rfam family "Bacterial large subunit ribosomal RNA", at positions 2048 to 2721 of the family's 2925-position model. The record is from RNAcentral. Lineage: Eukaryota; Metazoa; Mollusca; Polyplacophora; Chitonida; Chitonidae.
AAGUGAGUUAGUUACAGAAUUUAAAUUAAUUUUUUUAUUAAAAGUUUUUAUAUUUAGUAGGAUUAACGAAAUUUAUGAAAGUAUAUAAGUACCGUAAGGGAAAAGAAAAUUAAGUAAUAGUAUAGGUUAGCUCUAGUACCUUUGGCAUUAUGGUUUAACGAGAAAUAAUAUUUUAUAAUGUUUUCUAGAAAGAGAAAGAGUUAUAUUUUAACAAUAGAUAAUGUAGCAUAAUUAUCAUUUAGAUUAAGGUAUGGUAGUGAAACGCUAUCGAAUUCUCUGAUAGCUAGUUGAGAGAGAAGGACAUUUAAGUGUUAUUUAUUAAAUAUAAUAGCCUUAUUAUUGUAUGUUGUUUUUUUAAUAAUUACAAAUUUUUUAGGACAAGCUAAAAAAUUCUGAAAAUCUUUUUAUUUGUAUUAUAUCAUGUAGAAUUAAUAGUGUUCAGCAUAUAUAUGGUUUUAUAACAAAUUAGAUAAAAAUUAUAGAUUUUGGUUUUCUAUGGUAUUUCUUUUUGGUAAAAAAUUAUUUUAUUAUUGAAGUUUAUGUUAAAAUUAGUAUUUUAAAAUUCUAAUUGUUUAGGUUAAUAGAUUGAGAACUAAAAAUGGAUAAAGAAUAUAAAUGAAAAAUAGGAACUCGGCAAAUCUGGAUUUCGCCUGUUUACCAAAAACAUCGCUCUUUGUGUAAGAUAAAUAAAGAGUCGUGCCUGCCCAGUGAUUAUUUAAUGACUGUGCAAAGGUAGCAUAAUCAUUUGCCUUUUAAUUGGAGGCUGGAAUGAAUGGCUUGACGGAUUCCUGCUGUCUUUUUUUUAUUAACUAGAAUUUAAUUUUUAGGUGCAGAAGCCUAAAUGUUAUUAAAAGACGAAAAGACCCUGUCGAACUUAAGAAUGAAAUUAGAAUUUUAUUAUUUCUAUAGGAUAGGAAUAUUUUAGUUUGUCCUUUUGUUGGGGUGACAAAAGAACAGAUAAAGCUUCUUUAAUUUAAGGUAACCUAUAAGUUAAAAUGAUCCGUAAAUUUACGAAAUAAGAAUAAGUUACCGCAGGGAUAACAGCGUUAUUUUUCUGGAGAGUUCAAAUUGAAGGAAAAGAUUGCGACCUCGAUGUUGGAUUAGAAUACCGAGUAGGUGUAGCAGCUUAUUUUGGGGGCCUGUUCGUCCUUUAAAUUUCUACAUGAUCUGAGUUCAAACCGGCGAGAGCCAGGUUGGUUUCUAUCUUUAAUAUAAAUAUAGGUCUAACUUUAGUACGAAAGGACCAAGUUAGCAAAAAUUUUUUGUAGUUGAAU